AUGUCGUGGAGGGAUCCCGCGGUGCGGGCGACGGGGAGGUUCAACUCCCGGCCGCAGCCUGUGCCGCCGGCCACGCCGCACCCCCCGCCGGUGGUGGUUAUCGACGAGGAUGAGGACGACGUUGCUGCGGAAUCUGAGGUUUUCAUUAUUGAUGAUGAUGAUGAUGUGGAGAUAGCCCGUGUGACGGCUGCGUGCAGUAGCAAGAAAGGGAACAGCUCUUGUAGCAAUGUGAUCAACAUAGAUGAUGAUGAUGACGAGGAGGAGGAAGAGGAGGGUGGUCGGGCUGGCCCCAGCAUGGCAGGCGCCGGCUCUCCAGCGGCGACAACUACCCCUGUGCGUGCUUCUCCUAGAAACAGAUAUGGGCUGGAUUAUGUUUCUGACAGUGAGGACAGUGAUCUCUCUGAAGGACCGGACUCAGACUCAGACGGCGAUGGCAGCUCGGAUUGUGAGAUUCUGGGUGACACUGGGACUGCUCGUAAGGUUUGGGAGAAGGCUGCUUCAAGAAGAACAACGCUUCAUCAUCCCCCGCAUCAAAAAGAUGGCAGGGCUAGUACUUCUGCAUCGAGUGCCGAGUCAAGUACACACUAUGAUGAACCUCCAGAGAACCUCUUCUCUCCAGUGUGCCCUCUAGAUAAUGACAUCUUGAAAUAUUUUAGUGGUGCAUUUAACCCAGCUGGGCAAAGUAGUAGAAAUGGUGCAAAACAUGGCACUGGCCCUUCUUCAGUGCCUAAUGCCCAGGAAGGUCCGAUUGACAAUGAUUCCCAUGGAAAAGAAACUGAAGACCACAAUCCCGCUCGCAGUUCAGAUCCUGAUAUGCGUUACAAUGGCCCUGUUCCUGAAAAAGCCCCAGAAAGAAGUCACCAUCCUCACCUAGAUGAAACCAUGAAACCCGAAGGGCACACACGCUAUAACUUUGUCUCUGCAAAUAGGGUUUUUCCUGCAUACUCAGCUGAUUGUAAAGAUGAUAGUCCUAUAUUUGUCAGCACUCCUGAAAGGAUGGAUGAAAAAAUACCUGAAGGCACAUCUUUGGCAAAGGAUGGACGGACUGCCCACAAUGAAGCUGCCAAACAGAAGAAAAAGAUGUGCUUUGCACCAGAUGAUGAUUCUUGUGUGGAUCAACUCAGAGAAGAUCCAGUUUUUACUAGCAGGCUUGGUGGCUUGAGACAAUCUGGAGAAUACUUUAAUGAUAAUGCUCCCACAAAUGAAGCAUCGGGGACUUGCUCCUUGCCUCAGAAGGAUUUGGUUGAAGAUCCUGAAAAGUUAGGACAAUCUUCUAUGAUAAUUGGCGGCCGUGAAAAGCACAAAGAAUCUGAUGAGUACAAAAGGGCACAAGAGGAGGAGUGGGCAUGCAGACAGCGUCAGUUAGCAAUACAGGCUGAAGAGGCAAAAGAGGCAAAGAGGCUACGGAAGAGAAAAAAGGCUGAAGCUUUGCGACUGCUCGACAUGGAGAAGAGACAAAAGCAAAGACUGGAAGAAGUCCGUGAAACACAAAGAAAGAGUGAAGAAACUAUACAGCUGAAGGAGCAGUGUCGAGGGGCGGUAAGAUUGGAGCUUGAAAUUAUUGAAAGGAGAUACACUGAUAUGACUUCAAUAUUGCGUGCAUUGGGCAUUCCUGUUGAAGGGGGCGAGGUUAAAGCUGCCUAUAAGCAAGCCCUCCUGAAGUUCCAUCCGGACAGAGUAUCGAGAAACGAUAUUUAUGAGCAGGUCAAAGCAGAGGAGACGUUCAAGUUCAUCUCGCGCUUUAAGGAGAAGCUGAGGAUAUAG
This 1764-nucleotide ribosomal RNA is filed under the name Triticum aestivum (bread wheat). RNAcentral describes it as "partial small subunit ribosomal RNA". The record is from RNAcentral. Lineage: Eukaryota; Viridiplantae; Streptophyta; Magnoliopsida; Poales; Poaceae.